AACGAACGCUGGCGGCAUGCCUAACACAUGCAAGUCGAACGAAACCUUCGGGACUAGUGGCGCACGGGUGCGUCACGCGUGGGAAGCUGCCCUUGGGUUCGGACUACCUGUUGGAAAGGACUGAUAAUACGGGAUGAUGACGUAAACCCAAAGAUUUAUCGAGCCAGGUUGAGCCCGCGUAGGAUUAGCUAGUUGGUGAGGUAAUGGCUCCCCACGGCGCGAAUCCUUAGCUGGUCUGAGAGGCAGAUCAGCGACACUGGGACUGAGACACGGCCCAGAAUCCUACGGAAGGCGGGAGAGGGGAAUAGUGGACAGUGGGGGAAAGGAUGAUCGAGUAAUGAUGGUAGAGUUAUGAAGGCAGGAGAGUAGAAAAGUGCUUUUACCCGGGAUGAUAAUGACGGUACCGGGAGAAUAAGCCCCGGCUAACUACGUG
RNAcentral lists this ribosomal RNA (433 nucleotides) under uncultured bacterium. Its description in RNAcentral is "partial 16S ribosomal RNA". It matches the Rfam family "Bacterial small subunit ribosomal RNA", at positions 29 to 507 of the family's 1533-position model. The record is from RNAcentral.